UUAAGUUAACAAGGGCGCAUGGUGAAUGCCUUGGCACUAGGAGCCGAUGAAGGACGGGACUAACACCGAUAUGCUUCGGGGAGCUGUACGUAAGCUAUGAUCCGGAGAUUUCCGAAUGGGGCAACCCAGCAGUUUUAAUCAACUGUUACCACUAGAUGAAUUCAUAGUCUAGUUGGAGGUAAACGCUGUGAACUGAAACAUCUCAUUAGCAGCAGGAAUAUAAAGAAAUUUCGAUUCCCUAAGUAGCGGCGAGCGAACGGGGAACAGCCCAAACCAAAGUGCUUGCACUUUGGGGUUGUAGGACUGAACAUUUGAGUUACCAAAGAACUUGAUAGUCGAAGGAUUUGGGAAAAUCCGCCAUAGAUGGUGAUAGCCCAGUAGAUUAAAUCAAAUUCUCUCAGUUCAGGAUCCUGAGUACGGCGGAACACGUGAAAUUCCGUCGGAAUCCGGGAGGACCAUCUCCCAAGGCUAAAUACUACCUAGUGACCGAUAGUGAACCAGUACCGUGAGGGAAAGGUGAAAAGCACCCCGGAGGGGAGUGAAAUAGUUCCUGAAACCAUGUGCCUACAAUAAGUCAGAGCGCGUUAAUGCGUGAUGGCGUGCCUUUUGUAGAAUGAACCGGCGAGUUAUGAUCCCGUGCAAGGUUAAGACUAAAAAGUCGGAGCCGUAGCGAAAGCGAGUCUGAAAUGGGCGAUUUGAGUACGAGGUUAUAGACCCGAAACCAGGUGACCUAUCCAUGUCCAGGUUGAAGGUGCGGUAAAACGCACUGGAGGACCGAACCCGUGUAAGUUGAAAAUUGCUGGGAUGAGGUGUGGAUAGCGGUGAAAUUCCAAACGAACUUGGAGAUAGCUGGUUCUCUCCGAAAUAGCUUUAGGGCUAGCCUCGGAUUAAGGAUCAUGGAGGUAGAGCACUAUUUGGACUAGGGGCCCGUCUUGGGUUACUGAAUUCAGAUAAACUCCGAAUGCCAUUGAUUCAUGUCCGGGAGUCAGACGAUGAGUGAUAAGAUCCACCGUCGAAAGGGGAACAGCCCAGACCAUCAGUUAAGGUCCCUAAAUGUAUGCUAAGUGGAAAAGGAUGUGGAGUUGCAUAGACAACUAGGAUGUUGGCUCAGAAGCAGCCACCAUUUAAAGAGUGCGUAAUAGCUCACUAGUCGAGUGAUCCUGCGCCGAAAAUGUACCGGGGCUAAGCAUACUACCGAAACCAUGGAUGCGACCAUUAGGUCGCGUGAUAGGAGAGCGUUCUAAGGGCGGUGAAGCAAGAUCGUGAGGACUUGUGGAGCGCUUAGAAGUGAGAAUGCCGGUAUGAGUAGCGAAAGAUAGGUGAGAAUCCUAUCCACCGAAUGACUAAGGUUUCCUGGGGAAGGCUCGUCCUCCCAGGGUUAGUCGGGACCUAAGUCGAGGCCGAGAGGCGUAGACGAUGGAUAACAGGUUGAGAUUCCUGUACUAGUUAAGUGCGUUUGAGCAAUGGAGGGACGCAGGAGGCUAAGAUGUGCAUUCUGUUGGAUUAGAAUGUCCAAGCAGUAAGUCUUGUGGAGAGUCAAAUGCUUUUCACUUUAAGGACAAGCUGUGAUGGGGAGCGAAAUUUAGUAGCGAAGCGUCUGAUGUCACACUGCCGAGAAAAGCUUCUAGUGAGUACUUAACUACCCGUACCGCAAACCGACACAGGUAGUCGAGGAGAGAAUCCUAAGGUGAGCGAGUGAACUCUCGUUAAGGAACUCGGCAAAAUGACCCCGUAACUUCGGGAGAAGGGGUGCUGAUCGCAAGAUCAGCCGCAGUGAAUAGGCCCAGGCGACUGUUUAUCAAAAACACAGGUCUCUGCAAAAUCGUAAGAUGACGUAUAGGGGCUGACGCCUGCCCGGUGCUGGAAGGUUAAAAGGAUGGGUUAGCUUCGGCGAAGCUCAGAAUUGAAGCCCCAGUAAACGGCGGCCGUAACUAUAACGGUCCUAAGGUAGCGAAAUUCCUUGUCGGGUAAGUUCCGACCCGCACGAAAGGCGUAACGAUCUGGGCACUGUCUCAACGAGAGACUCGGUGAAAUUAUAUUGUCCGUGAAGAUGCGGACUACCCGCGACAGGACGGAAAGACCCCAUGGAGCUUUACUGUAGCUUGAUAUUGAGUGUUUGUACAGCUUGUACAGGAUAGGUAGGAGCCAUAGAAACCGGAACGCUAGUUUCGGUGGAGGCGUUGGUGGGAUACUACCCUCGCUGUAUGACCACUCUAACCCGCACCACUAAUCGUGGUGGGAGACAGUGUCAGGUGGGCAGUUUGACUGGGGCGGUCGCCUCCUAAAAAGUAACGGAGGCGCCCAAAGGUUCCCUCAGAAUGGUUGGAAAUCAUUCGCAGAGUGUAAAGGCACAAGGGAGCUUGACUGCGAGACAGACAGGUCGAGCAGGGACGAAAGUCGGGCUUAGUGAUCCGGUGGUACCGUAUGGAAGGGCCAUCGCUCAACGGAUAAAAGCUACCCUGGGGAUAACAGGCUUAUCUCCCCCAAGAGUCCACAUCGACGGGGAGGUUUGGCACCUCGAUGUCGGCUCAUCGCAUCCUGGGGCUGUAGUCGGUCCCAAGGGUUGGGCUGUUCGCCCAUUAAAGCGGUACGCGAGCUGGGUUCAGAACGUCGUGAGACAGUUCGGUCCCUAUCCGUCGCGGGCGUAGGAAAUUUGAGAGGACCUGUCCUUAGUACGAGAGGACCGGGAUGGACAUACCUCUGGUGUACCAGUUGUGCCGCCAGGCGCAUCGCUGGGUAGCUACGUAUGGAUGUGAUAAACGCUGAAAGCAUCUAAGUGUGAAACACACCUCGAGAUGAGAUUUCCCAUUCCUUUAUGGAAGUAAGACCCCUGAAAGAUGAUCAGGUAGAUAGGUUAGAAGUGGCAGUGCGGUGACGCAUGAAGCGGACUAAUACUAAUCGGUCGAGGACUUAACCAA
This 2918-nucleotide ribosomal RNA is filed under the name Lactiplantibacillus plantarum. RNAcentral describes it as "Lactobacillus plantarum 23S ribosomal RNA". It matches the Rfam family "Bacterial large subunit ribosomal RNA". Lineage: Bacteria; Bacillati; Bacillota; Bacilli; Lactobacillales; Lactobacillaceae. The record is from RNAcentral.